UAACAAAGCAAGCAGUAGCUGAUAUGUUAUAUUAUUAAUAAUUGUAUAUUUAAUGUAUUACUUUAUUUUUAUAAGUAAUGUUUUACUUAUGUUUUAAAACUAUACCUCUGUCAAAAUAUGGUUUUGCACAUUCCACCGCCGUUGGUCGCACUAACCAUAAAUUCAGUAGGCCUUGUUAUGUCAUUUGUUUUCCGUUAAAUUUCGAAUUUAUAUUUUGUUCUAUACGAUCCCAAAUUUUCUUCAUAAUUACACUAAAAUGGAUCAUCUACCAGCCAUCUACGAGGUCAGGAAUAACCAAAUAAUCCCAAUUGAAUAUAUGCAAAGGACUGAGAAUCCAUCAGAGCCCAUGGCAAUCAACCUUGAAGGGGUAGCCAGAGAUCUUCAUAAAGUAAAGCAACUACAAGAAGAAAAAAUACAGCUGCAUAGUGCCACAGAAAAACUUCCAUAUCUUCAGGAAAAGUUUGUCUCAUUGCACACAAAAAGAAUAAUGCAAACCAUUCGAGAACUGGCAGAUGCAAAUCCAAACAUUAAAAGAAUGAGUGAAAAAGAGAUGAUUGAAGACGGAAUGCGGCGCGACAGAAAGAAUCAAAUGUACGCCGCAAAAUUAAAAUUUUGUAACAGAAUUUAUUCAAAUCUGAAUGAAAAGUUGCUGGAACAGAUUAACACAUUAAAAGUUUUAAAUGCAUCUGCUCAAGAGGAUAUCAAAGCAUUCAAAGUAACAAAUGAAGAAAUAUAUCAACUAGAAGGAAAAAUUAAGCGUUACGACAGCGAAAUUACAAAGCUGGAGAAGAAAUAUCCAUGGUUAAAGAAUUCAGAACUGAAAUUAACCAGUAUAAUGGAUGAGGUGCAUAAAUUAGAUGAUCUCAGGCAGAAACACAAGGAAUUAAAGACACAACUGGAUUGUUACAAGGGAUUAAGUAGUGACCUGGCUGAAGCCCGCCAUAAACUGAUAGCAGUUAAAGAUCAGUAUGAAAAGUUAAAGUAAAAAAGUUUUUAAAUUGAAAAUGUUAGUUUUAAGAAGUUAAACUUAAACAAAUGACACUUAACAAACAAACGCUUUUAUCAGAUGAGAAGUAGAAGUAAAUAAUUCCAAUAUAACUAGAUUCUUAAUUAAUUUAUUUGUGCAAAAGGAAAGGUUGGCUGUGAGAAGUUAAAUCUGUACAAAUGUCACCAAACAUACUUGAUUAGGCAAUAAAAUUUUUAGUAAUUGAUACAAAAUGCAGUCACCAAAAGAUGUAGCCUUACCAGAAUUCCGCAAUUUGAGUUUUGUGGAAUUAGAGGAUUUUGUGAACAUGUCAAGUGUCAUGAUAAAAGACUAUGAAGUGCAGUUCAUGAAUCAAGUUCAAGAAAUUAAUAAAAUAUUCGCUGAUGUGGGAAAUAAUGACAGCAAGUGUGAAAAUAUGAAUCGGAUGCUGAAUUACUUGAGGCACUGGCAGCAAUUAAUUGAACUGAAUAUUUCGCUAACGAAUAAAUUAAUGUACGAAUUAGAAGCGAAUAUUAUUGAAUUCGAGGGUGAUGGGUUAAAUAAUGGAUUACAGAGUAUGCUGGAUCCGCUUCGAGUCGUAGUUUAUCCUAUCAUUUUGAAAGUAAACGAGGCGAUGACUAAACUUAUAACAGCAUUUGAAGAAAUAAUGUCAUCUUUAUUUGUUUCUAAAGAGAAUCGUACGCCGGAUCAGGCUACGCUAACACAAAAAAUCUUGGACCAGCAGCUCAGGCAACUGGAGCAUCUUGAAAUAAUGAUUCACAAACUGCAGAAGAAUUUACAGGACAAUAACAAUUUCUGUAAUUUAAUUGGGCCAAGCACUACAACGCGAUUUUGUAAUUGCCUCUAAGCGUUGAGUUAUGUCACGAACGUGAUCAGUUAAACACAACUCGGCAGCAGGCGUAUCUUAUCAAACCUAAAUAAACAUAUUUGUUGCGCCUUAA
RNA transcript from Dalotia coriaria, 1926 nucleotides. RefSeq lists it as uncharacterized. Lineage: Eukaryota; Metazoa; Arthropoda; Insecta; Coleoptera; Staphylinidae. The record is from RefSeq and is a predicted model, not a curated record. The transcript is spliced from 6 exons.